UUAGUUGUACUGUGGUAUAUAGUGACCUCUUGGCUGUGUUAGUAAGGUUAGUUGUACUGUGGUAUAUAGUGACCUCUUGGCUGUGUUAGUAAGGUUAGUUGUACGGUGGUAUAUAGUGACCUCUUGGCUGUGUUAGUAAGGUUAGUUGUACGGUGGUAUAUAGUGACCUCUUGGCUGUGUUAGUAAGGUUAGUUGUACGGUGGUAUAUAGUGACCUCUUGGCUGUGUUAGUAAGGUUAGUUGUACGGUGGUAUAUAGUGACCUCUUGGCUGUGUUAGUAAGGUUAGUUGUACUGUGGUAUAUAGUGACCUCUUGGCUGUGUUAGUAAGGUUAGUUGUACUGUGGUAUAUAGUGA
This is a long non-coding RNA of Oncorhynchus keta (chum salmon), 354 nucleotides long. RefSeq lists it as uncharacterized. The record is from RefSeq and is a predicted model, not a curated record. NCBI's taxonomy places the organism in Eukaryota, Metazoa, Chordata, Actinopteri, Salmoniformes, Salmonidae. The transcript has 3 exons.